This is a long non-coding RNA of Saccostrea cuccullata (small rock oyster), 346 nucleotides long. RefSeq lists it as uncharacterized. The record is from RefSeq and is a predicted model, not a curated record. NCBI's taxonomy places the organism in Eukaryota, Metazoa, Mollusca, Bivalvia, Ostreida, Ostreidae. The transcript is spliced from 3 exons.
CUUCAAAGGGCCACUCUUUGAUCUAUGAUACACUGACUUCUGCUGUGAAAUAUCUGUGUACAGAAGGAAAACCAGGAUUCAUUGAUAACUUUCACUGCAUAAUGAACAACUUGGCGGGGAAUCAUAUUAACAUUCUGCAGUCUUGUAAGAAACUCUAUCCAGAACUUAUCAACGCAAAAAAACGCAACACUGGUUCUGAUGUUUCCAGUGAAGGAUGCAGAGCGUUAAAGAAAGUUUUGACCUGUAUUGAGGACAAGGCCCAGACUCUGUGUGGUGGCAAAGCAGCAACUUUUAUACGUUCUUACCUGGAAGCCACGAUGAAACCUCUGACAAAGGUCAUUACUUG